This 314-nucleotide ribosomal RNA is filed under the name uncultured bacterium. RNAcentral's name for it is "partial 16S ribosomal RNA". It matches the Rfam family "Bacterial small subunit ribosomal RNA", at positions 499 to 807 of the family's 1533-position model. The record is from RNAcentral.
UUAUAAGAGACAGCAGCCGCCGCGGUAAUACGUAGGUGGCAAGCGUUGUCCGGAAUUAUUGGGCGUAAAGCGCGCGCAGGUGGUUUAAUAAGUCUGAUGCGAAAGCCCACGGCUCAACCGUGGAGGGUCAUUGGAAACUGUUUAACUUGAGUGCAAGAGGGGAGAGUGGAAUUCCAUGUGUAGCGGUGAAAUGCGUAGAUAUAUGGAGGAACACCGGUGGCGAAAGCGGCUCUCUGGCUUGUAACUGACGCUGAGGCUCGAAAGCGUGGGGCGCAAACAGGAUUAGAUACCCCAGUAGUCCCUGUCUCUUAUAC